RNAcentral lists this ribosomal RNA (253 nucleotides) under uncultured bacterium. RNAcentral describes it as "partial 16S ribosomal RNA". It matches the Rfam family "Bacterial small subunit ribosomal RNA", at positions 524 to 776 of the family's 1533-position model. The record is from RNAcentral.
UACGUAGGCAGCAAGCGUUGUUCGGAGUUACUGGGCGUAAAGGGCGUGUAGGCGGUUCUUUAAGUUUGGUGUGAAAUCUCCCGGCUCAACCGGGAGGGUGCGCCGAAUACUGAGGGACUAGAGUGCGGGAGAGGAAAGUGGAAUUCCUGGUGUAGCGGUGAAAUGCGUAGAUAUCAGGAGGAACACCGGUGGUGUAGACGGCUUUCUGGACCGUAACUGACGCUGAAACCCGAAAGCGUGGGUAGCAAACAGG